RNAcentral lists this ribosomal RNA (385 nucleotides) under uncultured bacterium. RNAcentral's name for it is "bacterial SSU rRNA". It matches the Rfam family "Bacterial small subunit ribosomal RNA", at positions 28 to 416 of the family's 1533-position model. The record is from RNAcentral.
GACGAACGCUGGCGGCGUGCUUAACACAUGCAAGUCGAGCGGUAAGGCCCUUCGGGGUACACGAGCGGCGAACGGGUGAGUAACACGUGGGUGACCUGCCUCUAGCUCUGGGAUAAGCCUGGGAAACUGGGUCUAAUACCGGAUAUGACUCCACGGCGCAUGUUGUGGGGUGGAAAGCCUUGUGUGGCUAGAGAUGGGCCCGCGGCCUAUCAGCUUGUUGGGUGGGGUGAUGGCCACCAAGGCGACGACGGGUAGCCGGCCUGAGAGGGCGACCGGCCACACUGGGACUGAGACACGGCCCAGACUCCUACGGGAGGCAGCAGUGGGGAAUCUUGCGCAAUGGGCGAAAGCCUGACGCAGCGACGCCGCGUGAGGGAUGACGGCC